RNAcentral lists this ribosomal RNA (253 nucleotides) under uncultured bacterium. RNAcentral describes it as "partial 16S ribosomal RNA". It matches the Rfam family "Bacterial small subunit ribosomal RNA", at positions 524 to 776 of the family's 1533-position model. The record is from RNAcentral.
UACAGAGGGGCAAGCGUUAUUCGGAAUUAUUGGGCGUAAAGGGCGCGUAGGCGGCCUGGCAAGUGGAAGGUGAAAUCCCUCGGCUUAACCGAGGAACUGCCCUCCAAACUGCUUGGCUUGAGUCCGGGAGAGGGUGAGUGGAAUUCCCAGUGUAGCGGUGAAAUGCGUAGAUAUUGGGAGGAACACCAGUGGCGAAGGCGGCUCACUGGACCGGAACUGACGCUGAGGCGCGAAAGCGUGGGGAGCAAACGGG